GGUCAGUAGGUUGGUCGUGCCACCGGUACGUACUGGUCUCACUGAUUCCUCCUUCCUGAAGAACCGUAAUGCCACUAAUUUGGUGUUGCGGGGAAACAGGACUGUUACUUUGAAAAAAUUAGAGUGUUUAAAGCAAGCUAACGCUUGAAUACAUUAGCAUGGAAUAAUGAAAUAGGACGAUCGAUCCUAUUUUGUUGGUUUCUAGGAUUGACGUA
This 215-nucleotide ribosomal RNA is filed under the name Glomeromycotina sp. RNAcentral's name for it is "partial small subunit ribosomal RNA". The stretch from base 86 to 215 matches the Rfam family "Eukaryotic small subunit ribosomal RNA", at positions 733 to 864 of the family's 1831-position model. Lineage: Eukaryota; Fungi; Glomeromycota. The record is from RNAcentral.